RNAcentral lists this ribosomal RNA (497 nucleotides) under uncultured bacterium. RNAcentral's name for it is "partial 16S ribosomal RNA". It matches the Rfam family "Bacterial small subunit ribosomal RNA", at positions 28 to 507 of the family's 1533-position model. The record is from RNAcentral.
GAUGAACGCUGGCGGCGUGCCUAAUACAUGCAAGUCGAGCGAACAGACGAGGAGCUUGCUCCUCUGACGUUAGCGGCGGACGGGUGAGUAACACGUGGAUAACCUACCUAUAAGACUGGGAUAACUUCGGGAAACCGGAGCUAAUACCGGAUAAUAUAUUGAACCGCAUGGUUCAAUAGUGAAAGACGGUUUUGCUGUCACUUAUAGAUGGAUCCGCGCCGCAUUAGCUAGUUGGUAAGGUAACGGCUUACCAAGGCAACUAUGCGUAGCCGACCUGAGAGGGUGAUAGCCGACAUGGGAACUGGGCCACGGUCAAGAGGACUAAGGGAGGCAGCAGUAGGGAAUGUGAGGCAAUGGGCGAAAGCAUGACGGAGCAAGGCGGAGUGAGUGACGGAGGCGUUGGGAGCGGAAAAAUGUGUUAUUAGGGAAAAACAAAUGUGUAAGUAAAUAAGCAGGGAUUGACGGUACUUAAUAAGAAAGCAACGGCUAACUACGUG